UUGACAACGGGGGGUGCGGGGGUGUCCUCCUCUCGUGUCGAGAUGUUGGGUUAAGUCCCGCAACAAGCGCAACCCUUGCUCUUAUUUGCCCUCAUUAAUUUGGGCACUCUUCUGUGACUGCCGCCGACAAACCGGAGAAAAGGGGGGAUAACACCUCAUCAUCUUGCGCCUUUUAACCUGGGGUAUACACACGCUAUAAUGGGCGGUACAAAGAGCUUCGCAACCCCGCGGGGGAGAUAAUCUCACAAAAACGUUCUCCGUUCGGAUUGUUUGCUGCCACUCCCCUACCUGAAGCUGGAAUCCCUAGUAAUCCCGGAUCAACCUGCCCCCCG
RNAcentral lists this ribosomal RNA (332 nucleotides) under uncultured bacterium. RNAcentral's name for it is "partial 16S ribosomal RNA". It matches the Rfam family "Bacterial small subunit ribosomal RNA", at positions 1028 to 1361 of the family's 1533-position model. The record is from RNAcentral.